Molecule: ribosomal RNA, 511 nt
Filed under: Vanniopsis howense
Lineage: Eukaryota; Metazoa; Arthropoda; Insecta; Hemiptera; Miridae
Description: eukaryotic LSU rRNA
Rfam family: Eukaryotic large subunit ribosomal RNA
Source: RNAcentral
CAAGUCAUUGGGUGACAAAACCCAAAGGCGAAAUGAAAGUGAAGGGAACUUCAGUUUCUGAGGGAAGAUGGGUACGGCCCCUUAAAAGGGUCGCCUCGCACUCCCGGGGCGUCUCUAUCUCAUUGCGAGAAGAGGCGCACCUAGAGCGUACACGCUGAUACCCGAAAGAUGGUGAACUAUGCCUGGCCAGGACGAAGCCAGGGGAAACCCUGGUGGAGGUCCGCAGCGAUUCUGACGUGCAAAUCGAUCGUCGGAGCUGGGUUUAGGGGCGAAAGACCAAUCGAACCAUCUAGUAGCUGGUUCCCUCUGAAGUUUCCCUCAGGAUAGCUUGCGCUCGGAUUUGACGAGUCUCAUCCGGUAGAGCGAAUGAUUAGAGGCCUUGGGGUCGAAACGACCUCAACCUAUUCUCAAACUCCAAAUAGAUGAGAACCCCGGCUUUCUUAAACUUUUGUUUUGAAGCCGGGGGCUCGGAUCAGAGUGCCAAGUGGGCCAAUUUUGGUAAGCAGAACUG